CCGCUCUACUUACGUUAAGGACGGCUUGAACGUUGCGUAAACUCCGUCUCUGAAUAGCCGGGGGGAGGGGGACGUGAAUGCCGCUGCGCCUAUUCUCGAAAUCAGGGUACGUACGAGGCCGAGGCCAGAAAACCGAACCCAAACAGAACAGUGUACGCAAAUUGCGUAGUGCCCAGGAGCUGAGUCGGCUUUUUGCGUGUGGAGACAACGCUCUCCCUAUUCCCGAAAUUCGACUGCGCAAAACGCCAAUCAUGUAACCCACCUACGAACUGUGAGGAAAACCCUGGCCAAGCAGCAUAUUAACUAAAUAUUAUACGGAAGUUUCGUAGCUGUCGCUUGUUCCAUGGUGGGUUUAGCGGGGGUGAUACUGCAGUCCAGUGCACCCUCAGUGAACUGAGUGCACAUCCAGAUAUCUGAAGAUGUCCUGAAUGGAAGUCCACGUUGGUUGGUUCCUGCGAGCCAAGGACCACACCAGAAACCUUUUACACUUCGCUAAGUAGACCAUCCUGGUAGAGGACUUCCUACUGUUGAGUAGGACUUGUUGGACAGCUGCUGAACAAUGCUCUUCUUCAUUAAACCAUGCAGCAGCCACGCCAUGAGGUGCAGGGAGUUGAGUGCGGCAUGGCAAAUGCGGCCGUGGUUCUGAGUAAGCAGGUUGAGAUGGGGAGGAAAUGAUAUGGGAGGCUGAAUCGAUAGCACAAGAAGGUCGGAGAACCAGCACUGUUUCGGCCACACCAGGACUAUGAGGAUAAGCUUGGCCCAAUCUGCUUUGAGCUUGAGGAUGAUCUAUGUAACCUCACAACCUUGCAAUCAGUAUUAGCGUUAGUGGUUUAGCGUUAGUUAGUUCUAGUAGUCCUCCCCCCGUGAUGCCUUCAGUGCAGUUCAAACACUGUCCUUCAUGUGUGGGAGCGAUUCCUAACAGCAAUCCCCAUGCACACUGCCUGCUUUGGAGCUCAAACUCCAGCCACAGGUAGUAAGAAGGAAUGGAGGAGAGUCAGGGCCACGCCACCUGAUAUAGCCAAGGGAGGGGCCACAGUCACUAGAUGCAAGUACCACACCUUUACAGGUACUGCUAGGCAAAAGUCUCUGGGUCCAGUGCAUUGGGCACACACACCUAACUGGAAUAUGUCUGCAUCUACUUGAAGAACUGCAGACACCAAUUGUAAAAAGCACACUCAAUGAGCUUGGACAUGAAAGGAAGGAGGUGUGACACUGUAUGGAAUAUGAGAGACACUUUAUGAUAUUAUUGAUAUCCAUAUUAUAAUCUUACCAGAUAUACCAUGUAAGGUAUCAGUGAAAAUGUUAUGAUUUGCAAAGUAUGAUAAUCUUUUUUAUAUUUGUAUCAUCUUUGUAUUGUAAGUUAUAAAUAUGUAUGGUAUAUUUGUAUUUCAAACUUGUGCUGUGUAUCUGGGUGACACCCCCAGACAGAAAUGCAUCAGCACUGCCUAGCCUGUUCAAUGGCCCAUCAAGGGCAAUCAGUGACAAUGAACCCAUUGAAGGAAGCCAGAGGCUACACCUUAUGAAUCAACAAGACUUGUAGGGGCAUUCCUGUGAACAGAGAACUCUAAGGCUUUUCCAUACCAUGUGUUGUGAAGCUUGUGUUUGGGACAAAGGAUGUACAAGCCACAUGGCAAAAGAUAUGAAAAGGCAGCUGCAUCAUUCUCCAUUUUGUCUUCAAUCCUGCUUCUUACCUCUGGAGUAACUUCUCUACAAACUGAAGCUCUGAACAAAGGACUGAAUGACCUAUCCAAGCUUUGGAUGUGUUCCAGAGGGACUUUCAAGUCAACAAACUCACCAGUACUGCUAAGAAACAGAUAUAUGGAUCUGGAGACUUAUAUAUGUAUCUGAUUGCUUUACUAUUUAACAACUCUCUUCUUGUUCUUGCCUUUUCUUUUCUAAUAAACCUUUAGUUUUAGAUACUAAA
Long non-coding RNA from Chelonia mydas (Green sea turtle), 1924 nucleotides. RefSeq lists it as uncharacterized. Lineage: Eukaryota; Metazoa; Chordata; Testudines; Cheloniidae. The record is from RefSeq and is a predicted model, not a curated record. The transcript has 2 exons.